AACGUAGGAGACAAACGUUAUCCGGAGUUACUGGGCGUAAAGGGCGUGUAGGCGGUUAGUUAAGUCUGGCGUGAAAGCUCUCGGCUAAACCGGGAGAGGUCGUCGGAUGCUGGCAAACUAGAGGACGGUAGAGGCGUGUGGAAUUCCGGGUGUAGUGGUGAAAUGCGUAGAGAUCCGGAGGAACACCAGUGGCGAAGGCGACACGCUGGGCCGUACCUGACGCUAAAGCGCGACAGCAUGGGGAGCGAACGGG
Molecule: ribosomal RNA, 253 nt
Filed under: uncultured bacterium
Lineage: Bacteria
Description: partial 16S ribosomal RNA
Rfam family: Bacterial small subunit ribosomal RNA
Source: RNAcentral